RNAcentral lists this long non-coding RNA (765 nucleotides) under Anser brachyrhynchus (Pink-footed goose). RNAcentral describes it as "lncRNA (ENSABRG00000021683.1)". The record is from RNAcentral. Lineage: Eukaryota; Metazoa; Chordata; Aves; Anseriformes; Anatidae.
GUAAAUGAUUCACAAUUAAUAUUUUUUUUUCUUUCAGUCUUGACGAUAAAAUCAGGUUAGAACUUCAGUUGUUGGCAUGCCGAUGCAGCAAGCCUCAUAAUUCAACCUGCUAGUUAAAAUAAUGCCAGCUGGGAACUGAUGCUGUGCUUCUUAAGCUCCUACCACUGUAAACGAGCGCGAAUCUGCCUAUAGAUGCCUGUUGCUUGGUAGCUUUCCUUGCAAGGUGAAGGCUGCAGUGUGUGCACCCUGUGCUAUGCAGUUGAGGGAAGAAGGAAACAAGAAUAUUCAGGCUGCCAGAGAACAAAUGGCAAGGACAAAGAGCAAAGAGAAAUACUAGCAGUGAUUUUACCCAUGAUGACUGUCAUUACAACCAUUGUACCUGCCUGCCAGAGCUUUGCUUUGUGCCGCUUUCAAAGUCUACUUUUGCCUAAGUUUGGACUAGAAGACCUUGGAAGAACACUGGCAUGGAGUGUCAGGUGGUCUGAAGAAAGAUUACCAAGAUGCUGGUGGCAAUAGUUAUUCUAGUUCUGCAGUCUGAAACUAAAUCAACAGCUUUAUCAGCAAGGCUGAAUUUUAAGGAGAGCUACACUAGGAACUGAUGUCAACAGUGCUGGAGGAUGGGCUUUGAGGCUUAAGUUCUGAGGCUAUAUUUUCCUUCCAGUGAAACCAACGCAGUUUUAGAGAAGACUUAACGGGAAGAGGGGUCUUUAUUUGAACUUUUCACUGUUGCUUUUUAAUAAACUAGUUCGUGUGGCCUCUUUAACA